GACGAACGCUGGCGGCGUGCUUAACACAUGCAAGUCGAACGGAAAGGCCCUGCUUUUGUGGGGUGCUCGAGUGGCGAACGGGUGAGUAACACGUGAGUAACCUGCCCUUGACUUUGGGAUAACUUCAGGAAACUGGGGCUAAUACCGGAUAGGAGCUCCUGCUGCAUGGUGGGGGUUGGAAAGUUUCGGCGGUUGGGGAUGGACUCGCGGCUUAUCAGCUUGUUGGUGGGGUAGUUGCUUACCAAGGCUUUGACGGGUAGCCGGCCUGAGAGGGUGAACGGCCACAUUGGGACUGAGGUACGGCCCAGACGCCUACGGGAGGCAGCAGUGGGGAAUAUUGCACAAUGGGCGGAAGCCUGAUGCAGCAACGCCGCGUGCGGGAUGACGGCCUUCGGGUUGUAAACCGCUUUCGCCUGUGACGAAGCGUGAGUGACGGUAAUGGGUAAAGAAGCACCGGCUAACUACGUG
RNAcentral lists this ribosomal RNA (468 nucleotides) under uncultured bacterium. RNAcentral describes it as "partial 16S ribosomal RNA". It matches the Rfam family "Bacterial small subunit ribosomal RNA", at positions 28 to 507 of the family's 1533-position model. The record is from RNAcentral.